Molecule: ribosomal RNA, 489 nt
Filed under: uncultured bacterium
Lineage: Bacteria
Description: partial 16S ribosomal RNA
Rfam family: Bacterial small subunit ribosomal RNA
Source: RNAcentral
GAUGAACGCUAGCUACAGGCUUAACACAUGCAAGUCGAGGGGCAGCAUGAACUUAGCUUGCUAAGUUUGAUGGCGACCGGCGCACGGGUGAGUAACACGUAUCCAACCUGCCGAUGACUCGGGGAUAGCCUUUCGAAAGAAAGAUUAAUACCCGAUGGCAUAGUUCUUCCGCAUGGUAGAACUAUUAAAGAAUUUCGGUCAUCGAUGGGGAUGCGUUCCAUUAGGUUGUUGGCGGGGUAACGGCCCACCAAGCCUUCGAUGGAUAGGGGUUCUGAGAGGAAGGUCCCCCACAUUGGAACUGAGACACGGUCCAAACUCCUACGGGAGGCAGCAGUGAGGAAUAUUGGUCAAUGGACGAGAGUCUGAACCAACCAAGUAGCGUGAAGGAUGACUGCCCUAUGGGUUGUAAACUUCUUUUAUACGGGAAUAAAGUGAGGCACGUGUGCCUUUUUGUAUGUACCGUAUGAAUAAGGAUCGGCUAACUCCGUG